CAGUAGCCGCGGGAAUACAGAGGCCUCAAGCGUUGUUCGGAUUCAUUGGGCAUAAAGGGUGCGUAGGCGGUUCCAUAAGUCGGAUGUGAAAUCCUGGGGCUCAACCCCAGAACUGCAUUCGAUACUGCGGGGCUAGAGGACUGGAGAGGAGAGUGGAAUUCACGGUGUAGCAGUGAAAUGCGUAGAUAUCGUGAGGAAGACCAGCGGCGAAGGCGGCUCUCUGGACAGUUCCUGACGCUGAUGCACGAAGGCCAGGGGAGCAAAUGGGAUUAGAUACCCCGGUAGUCCCUGUCUCUUAUAC
This 301-nucleotide ribosomal RNA is filed under the name uncultured bacterium. Its description in RNAcentral is "partial 16S ribosomal RNA". It matches the Rfam family "Bacterial small subunit ribosomal RNA", at positions 509 to 807 of the family's 1533-position model. The record is from RNAcentral.